Molecule: ribosomal RNA, 115 nt
Filed under: Cordylochernes scorpioides
Lineage: Eukaryota; Metazoa; Arthropoda; Arachnida; Pseudoscorpiones; Chernetidae
Source: RNAcentral
ACGGCCAUACCACAUUGAAAACACCGGUUCUCGUCCGAUCACCGAAGUUAAGCAAUGUCGGGCCUGGUCAGUACUUGGGAGGGUGACCACCUGGGAAAACCGGGUACUGUAGGCU